UGGCGAGGCGAUAGCAUGUUCAAUGCAUUAGUUUCCAAUUGUCACUGGAGCUAAGCAACGUUGCGCGUGGUUGGUAUCCGGAGAGGUGACCAUCUUGGCAAUCGCGUGCUUUCCCGG
RNAcentral lists this ribosomal RNA (117 nucleotides) under Diaphorina citri (Asian citrus psyllid). The record is from RNAcentral. Lineage: Eukaryota; Metazoa; Arthropoda; Insecta; Hemiptera; Psyllidae.